RNA transcript from Ipomoea nil (Japanese morning glory), 2212 nucleotides. It is a transcript of the gene named cell division cycle 20.2, cofactor of APC complex-like, with no coding region annotated. The transcript has 6 exons. NCBI's taxonomy places the organism in Eukaryota, Viridiplantae, Streptophyta, Magnoliopsida, Solanales, Convolvulaceae. The record is from RefSeq and is a predicted model, not a curated record.
CGAGUAUAAAACCCUCGUUUUCAAGUUAAUCUCUCAAUCAUCUCUCGUUUCUCUGUUCUCUGCCCUAGCGUACUUCGUUGCUUCCUGAUCAAGUCAAUCCACCGUUGGCGGCUCUCGAUCUCCAACACUUUCAAUCUCGAUUUCUUGUUUAAUAUACUUUUUUAUUUUAAAUAUUUCAUUGUGUUUAUUUUUUUUUUUUUUCUCUUAACGCUCUAAUUUGUUCUAUUACAGGCCCCUUGCUAGAUUAAUUCUUGCGCGAUUCUUUCUCUCAAUUCUAUAUUCUCUCGCUAUAAUCCAUAAUUGAAAUUGUCGUAGUAGUAGUAGUGUUUUUUUGGUGUUAUUAACGUGAUGGAUGCAGGAUUAAGGAACUCUGCUUCUUCAAACAAGGCUCAAUCCCGUUUCCCUCUUCAGGAGGAGUAUCUUCAGAGAAAAAAUUCCCGCGAAAAUUUGGAUAGGUUCAUUCCAAAUAGAUCAGCAAUGGAUUUCGACUAUGCACAUUAUAUGGUGACGAAAGGUAAGGAAAAUCCAGUCACCAGCUCACCAUCCAGAGAGGCAUAUAGAAAGCAGCUCGCGGAGGCCUUGAACAUGAACAGGACACGGAUCCUUGCAUUUAAGAACAAACCACCCACCCCUGUGGAGGGCAUCCCAAAUGAGUUUUCUUCUGCUGCUUACCAGGCCAAACCAACGAAACCCAAGCGCCACAUUCCUCAGACCUCUGAGAGGACUUUGGAUGCUCCAGAUAUUGUGGAUGAUUACUACUUAAAUCUAUUAGAUUGGGGCAGCAGCAAUGUUCUUUCUAUAGCUUUGGGCAGUACUGUUUACCUGUGGGAUGCAUCUGAAGGCAGCACUUCCGAACUGGUCACAAUUGAUGAUGAAAAUGGUCCUGUUACAAGUGUUAAAUGGGCUCCAGAUGGGAGGCAUAUUGCUAUUGGCUUAAACAACUCUGACGUGCAGCUUUGGGAUACCACAGCUAACCGAUUGUUGAGAACUUUGAGAGGCGGCCACCAAUCACGAGUCGGUGCCCUUGACUGGAACAAUCAUAUACUGACUACAGGCGGAAUGGAUGGUCUGAUUAACAACAAUGAUGUCCGAAUUAGAGCCCCUAUUGUAGAAACGUAUAGAGGACAUCAUCAAGAAGUCUGUGGCCUAAAAUGGUCUGCCUCUGGCCAGCAGUUGGCUAGUGGAGGAAAUGAUAAUCUCCUCCACAUAUGGGAUAGAUCAACUGCUUCUUCCAACUCCUCGACACAGUGGCUUCACAGGCUUGAGGAUCACACAGCUGCUGUUAAGGCGCUUGCUUGGUGUCCAUUUCAGGGUAACUUGCUGGCCUCCGGUGGAGGUGGAGGCGAUAGGUGCAUAAAGUUCUGGAAUACCCAUACUGGUGCUUGUGUGAACUCAGUUGAUACAGGGUCACAGGUCUGUGCACUGCUUUGGAGCAAGAAUGAGCGUGAAUUGCUAAGCUCUCAUGGGUUUACUCAGAAUCAGCUUACUCUCUGGAAAUACCCAUCAAUGGUUAAGAUGGCAGAGCUUACUGGACAUACAUCCCGAGUUCUUUUCAUGGCUCAGAGUCCAGAUGGUUGCACAGUGGCUUCUGCAGCAGGAGAUGAAACACUGAGAUUCUGGAAUGUUUUUGGAACCCCUGAAGUAGCAAAACAGGCUCAAAAGUCAAAUCCGGAGCCAUUUGCUCACAUCAACCGAAUUCGCUGAAUAUUAUAACCCUCUGCCUGGUUUGACAUUUCAUAUCUUCUCAGGAACCAGAUACAGAUGAUGAUAUGGCUUUAGAGUCAGCAGAAAAGAAGCAUCUAUGGAAUUACAACCUUAAGCACCAGCUUGAAGAUGGAAGAAGCAUUCAAUUCAAGUAAUGUGACACAAUCACUUGCUAAUUGGAAUCUUGUUGAGAGGUCUCCGAAUGCAUUUUUUAGGCGAAUCAUUUAUGAACAGCCAGUACUCAUCAGAUAAAGGCAGUUGUGGUGUGGUGGUCAAGCUACUUCAUUUAUGAAAUCCAGGGGGGUACCAAUGGCUGAAAGCUCCAAGCAAUAUAUACCCUAACUUCAAGGGUAGCUCCAAUCUAGUUUCUGUGCAUAUCAAUUGUGAACAAUGUCUCAUUUGUUUGUACAUGUCUUGUUGUUUUGAUGCCUAAUUAGCUCAAAAACAUCCUGCCCCAAUGUUUAAUAUUGGUAUGUAAAUUCUAUUUCAGAUAAAUGCAUUUUGCAAA